RNAcentral lists this ribosomal RNA (1016 nucleotides) under Phyllotreta variipennis. RNAcentral's name for it is "16S ribosomal RNA". Lineage: Eukaryota; Metazoa; Arthropoda; Insecta; Coleoptera; Chrysomelidae. The record is from RNAcentral.
UUGAAAAUUAUAAAUUAUUAAAAGUAUUAUUAUUUUAUUUUUAUUAUAUAAAAUUUAAGGUUUUUAUUUAAAAAGGUAAAAUUUAUUUAAUUAUAGUUAAAAGUAUUGUAAAAGAAUUUUGUAAUUUUUAAAAAAGAAAUUUUUAAUUAUUGUACCUUGUGUAUCAGGGUUUAUUAAAUAAAUUUAUGAAUUUAAUUUUUUCGAAUUUAAAAGAGUUAAAAAAUUAAUUUAUUUUAUUGUAUUAUAAAUAAGUAAAAUAAUUUUUUGGUAAUGAAAUGUUAUUCGUUUUUAAAUAUAUCUAAUUUUUUAAGAAAUAAAUUUAAUUUAUUUAAUAGUAAUACUUUUUAUAUUUUUAAAAAAGUAUUAUUAUUAAAAAAUAUUUUUAGGGAUAAGCUUAAAAAUUUAUUUUUAUUAUUAAAUUUAAAAUAUAAAAUAUUUUAGGAUUGAAAUUUUUUAUAAUAUAAAUAUGUUGUAAUUUAUUUUUAUUAAAUUAAAAUUUAUUUUUAAUAUAAAUUUUUUAUUAAAAUAUAAUUUUUAAUAAUAAUUAAUUAUAAAUAAUGAUAAAAUUAGUAUAAUUUAAUUUAUAUUUUUGUAUAAAUUUUAGGUUAAUUAAAGGAACUCGGCAAAUAAAUUUUUCAACUGUUUAUUAAAAACAUUGCCUUUUGUGUUAUAUUUAAGGUAUUACCUGCCCAAUGUAGUAUGAAUGGCUGCAGUAUUUUGACUGUACUAAGGUAGCAUAAUCAUUAGUUUUUUAAUUAAAAGCUGGAAUGAAGGGUGUAAUGGAAUAAUUACUGUCUCUAAUUAAUUUAAUUAAAAUUUUAUUUUUAAGUUAAAAAGCUUAAAUAUUUUUAAAAGACGAGAAGACCCUAUAGAAUUUUAUAUUUAAUUUAUUAUAAUUUUUUAGAAUUUAUAAUAUUAGUAAUUUAAAUAUUUAAUUGGGGUGAUUAAAAAAUUUAAUAAACUUUUUUUAAAUUAUAAUACUAAUUAGUAAGUUAAUGAUCCAUAAAUUAUGAUUA